UACGUAGGGGGCAAGCGUUGUUCGGAAUUACUGGGCGUAAAGGGCGCGUAGGCGGCCCGGCAAGUCAGGCGUGAAAGCCCGGGGCUCAACCCCGGAAUGUCUUUUGAAACUGCCGAGCUAGAGUGCGGAAGAGGCAACUGGAAUUCCCAGUGUAGCGGUGAAAUGCGUAGAUAUUGGGAAGAACACCUGAGGCGAAGGCGGAUUGCUGGGCCGACACUGACGCUGAGGCGCGAAAGCCAGGGGAGCGAACGGG
Molecule: ribosomal RNA, 253 nt
Filed under: uncultured bacterium
Lineage: Bacteria
Description: partial 16S ribosomal RNA
Rfam family: Bacterial small subunit ribosomal RNA
Source: RNAcentral